CCUACGGGGGGCAGCAGUGAGGAAUAUUGGUCAAUGGACGAGAGUCUGAACCAGCCAAGUAGCGUGAAGGAUUACUGCCCUAUGGGUUGUAAACUUCUUUUAUAUGGGAAUAAAAUGUUCCACGUGUGGGAUUUUGUAUGUACCCUAUGAAUAAGGAUCGGCUAACUCCGUGCCAGCAGCCGAGGUAAUACGGAGGAUCCGAGCGUUAUCCGGAUUUAUUGGGUUUAAAGGGCGCGUAGGUGGAUUGUUAAGUCAGUUGUGAAAGUUUGCGGCUCAACCGUAAAAUUGCAGUUGAAACUGGCAGUCUGGAGUACAGUAGAGGUGGGCGGAAUUCGUGGUGUAGCGGUGAAAUGCUUAGAUAUCGCGAAGAACUCCGAUUGCGAAGGCAGCUCACUGGACUGCAACUGACACUGAGGCUCGAAAGUGUGGGUAUCAAACAGGAUUAGAUACCCCAGUAGUC
Molecule: ribosomal RNA, 460 nt
Filed under: uncultured bacterium
Lineage: Bacteria
Description: partial 16S ribosomal RNA
Rfam family: Bacterial small subunit ribosomal RNA
Source: RNAcentral